AAUUAAUCUUCCAUUGCAUGCUUGUUUAGUGGCAAGGUGAUUAGUGGGUGUACAGGCUUUUGUAUAAGCGCAGGACAAUAUUUAAUCAUGACCUGUAUGAGGAGGUCAAGGCAUUUACUCUUAUGCAUGGAGGGUCUAGUACAAUAUAUCAGCAAGACAUCUAGCUAUGCAUAUUGGUAUAUCCAAGUGUGAUUGUAAGUAGGC
Non-coding RNA from Pelobates cultripes (western spadefoot toad), 204 nucleotides. NCBI's taxonomy places the organism in Eukaryota, Metazoa, Chordata, Amphibia, Anura, Pelobatidae. The record is from the annotation of a GenBank genome assembly.